Molecule: ribosomal RNA, 273 nt
Filed under: Ctenocephalides felis damarensis
Lineage: Eukaryota; Metazoa; Arthropoda; Insecta; Siphonaptera; Pulicidae
Description: partial 12S ribosomal RNA
Source: RNAcentral
UAGUAAUAGAUAUAGGCUUGAAACUUAAAAAAUUUGGCGGUAUUUUAAUCUUAUUAGAGGAACCUGUUCUAUAAUCGAUAAUCCACGUUAAAUUUUACUAAAAUAUUUGUAUACCGUUGUCGAAAGAAUAUUUUAAAAUUUUCAAAAAUUUAAAAUAAAAUUUAUGUCAAAUCAAGGUGCAGUUAAUAAUUUAGAAGAAAUGGGUUACAAUAAAUUUAUUUAGGAUUUAAAUAAAAGUGGAUUUAAUAGUAAAUUAAUUUUAAUAUAAUUGAU